RNAcentral lists this unclassified non-coding RNA (352 nucleotides) under soil metagenome. RNAcentral describes it as "partial contains 5.8S ribosomal RNA, internal transcribed spacer 2, and large subunit ribosomal RNA". The stretch from base 1 to 120 matches the Rfam family "5.8S ribosomal RNA", at positions 35 to 154 of the family's 154-position model. The record is from RNAcentral.
GAUGAAGAACGCAGCGAAACGCGAUAGUUAAUGUGAAUUGCAGAAUUCAGUGAAUCAUCGAGUCUUUGAACGCACAUUGCGCCCAUCGGUAUUCCUUUGGGCAUGUCUGUUUGAGCGUCAUUACAACACCUCAGCACACGCUGGUUUUGAGCUGUGAGGGUUCUUCUGAAUCCUUCCGCUUUAAAGUUGUAAGCUCUGCUGGCUUCCAGCUUGACCGGAAACAUAGUAAACUUCUUGCUUGUUUAUGGAAAGGUUGUGGAGUUCGGCCUGAACAACACCUUCAAUUUCUAAGGUUUGACCUCAGAUCAGACAAGGAUACCCGCUGAACUUAAGCAUAUCAAUAAGCGGAGGA